UACGGGGGGGGCAAGCGUUGUUCGGAAUUACUGGGCGUAAAGGGCUCGUAGGCGGCCAACUAAGUCCGACGUGAAAUCCCCAGGCUUAACCUGGGAACUGCGUCGGAUACUGGAUGGCUUGAAUUCGGGGAGAGGGAUGCAGAAUUCCAGGUGUAGCGGUGAAAUGCGUAGAUAUCUGGAGGAAUACCGGUGGCGAAGGCGGCAUCCUGGACCGGCAUUGACGCUGAGGCGCGAAAGCCAGGGGAGCAAACGGG
RNAcentral lists this ribosomal RNA (254 nucleotides) under uncultured bacterium. RNAcentral describes it as "partial 16S ribosomal RNA". It matches the Rfam family "Bacterial small subunit ribosomal RNA", at positions 524 to 776 of the family's 1533-position model. The record is from RNAcentral.